ACCCUUUAAUGUUUGAUGUUCUAACGUGGACCCGUAAUCCGGGUUGCGGACAGUGUCUGGUGGGUAGUUUGACUGGGGCGGUCUCCUCCUAAAGAGUAACGGAGGAGCACGAAGGUUGGCUAAUCCUGGUCGGACAUCAGGAGGUUAGUGCAAUGGCAUAAGCCAGCUUGACUGCGAGCGUGACGGCGCGAGCAGGUGCGAAAGCAGGUCAUAGUGAUCCGGUGGUUCUGAAUGGAAGGGCCAUCGCUCAACGGAUAAAAGGUACUCCGGGGAUAACAGGCUGAUACCGCCCAAGAGUUCAUAUCGACGGCGGUGUUUGGCACCUCGAUGUCGGCUCAUCACAUCCUGGGGCUGAAGUAGGUCCCAAGGGUAUGGCUGUUCGCCAUUUAAAGUGGUACGCGAGCUGGGUUUAGAACGUCGUGAGACAGUUCGGUCCCUAUCUGCCGUGGGCGCUGGAGAACUGAGGGGGGCUGCUCCUAGUACGAGAGGACCGGAGUGGACGCAUCACUGGUGUUCGGGUUGUCAUGCCAAUGGCACUGCCCGGUAGCUACAUGCGGAAGAGAUAAGUGCUGAAAGCAUCUAAGCACGAAACUUGCCCCGAGAU
This 604-nucleotide ribosomal RNA is filed under the name Salmonella enterica subsp. enterica serovar Stanley. Its description in RNAcentral is "partial 23S ribosomal RNA". It matches the Rfam family "Bacterial large subunit ribosomal RNA", at positions 2202 to 2805 of the family's 2925-position model. Lineage: Bacteria; Pseudomonadati; Pseudomonadota; Gammaproteobacteria; Enterobacterales; Enterobacteriaceae. The record is from RNAcentral.